This 253-nucleotide ribosomal RNA is filed under the name uncultured bacterium. Its description in RNAcentral is "partial 16S ribosomal RNA". It matches the Rfam family "Bacterial small subunit ribosomal RNA", at positions 524 to 776 of the family's 1533-position model. The record is from RNAcentral.
UACGUAGGGGGCAAGCGUUGUCCGGAAUCAUUGGGCGUAAAGCGCGUGUAGGCGGCUGAGUAAGUCCGCUCUGAAAGCCCGGGGCUCAACCCCGGGAGGCGGGUGGAUACUGCUCAGCUCGAGUCCGGAAGAGGAGCGUGGAAUUCCUGGUGUAGCGGUGAAAUGCGCAGAUAUCAGGAGGAACACCUAUUGCGAAGGCAGCUCGCUGGGACGUUACUGACGCUGAGACGCGAAAGCGUGGGGAGCAAACAGG